GAUGAAGAACGUAGCGAAAUGCGACAAGUAAUGUGAAUUGCAGAAUUCCGUGAAUCAUCGAAUCUUUGAACGCACAUUGCGCCCCCUGGUAUUCCGGGGGGCAUGCCUGUCCGAGCGUCAUUACAACCCUCAAGCUCAGCUUGGUAUUGGGCCCCGCCGACCCGGCGGGCCCUAAAGUCAGUGGCGGUGCCGUCCGGCUCCGAGCGUAGUAAUUCUUCUCGCUCUGGAGGUCCGGUCGUGUGCUCGCCAGCAACCCCCAAUUUUUUUCAGGUUGACCUCGGAUCAGGUAGGGAUACCCGCUGAACUUAAGCAUAUCAAUAAGCGGAGGA
RNAcentral lists this unclassified non-coding RNA (329 nucleotides) under soil metagenome. RNAcentral describes it as "partial contains 5.8S ribosomal RNA, internal transcribed spacer 2, and large subunit ribosomal RNA". The stretch from base 1 to 120 matches the Rfam family "5.8S ribosomal RNA", at positions 35 to 154 of the family's 154-position model. The record is from RNAcentral.